Molecule: ribosomal RNA, 253 nt
Filed under: uncultured bacterium
Lineage: Bacteria
Description: partial 16S ribosomal RNA
Rfam family: Bacterial small subunit ribosomal RNA
Source: RNAcentral
GACGAACCGUGCAAACGUUUUUCGGAAUCACUGGGCUUAAAGGGCGCGUAGGCGGGUUCCCAAGUCGGUGGUGAAAUCUUUCGGCCCAACCGGAAAAGUGCCGCCGAUACUGGGAGUCUUGAGGGAGGUAGGGGUCGAGGGAACUAAUGGUGGAGCGGUGAAAUGCGUAGAUAUCAUUAGGAACGCCGGUGGCGAAAGCGCUCGACUGGACCUCUUCUGACGCUGAGGCGCGAAAGCCAGGGGAGCAAACGGG